UACAGAGGGGGCAAGCGUUAUUCGGAAUUAUUGGGCGUAAAGGGCGCGUAGGCGGCUUUGCAAGUGACGGGUGAAAGCCCUCGGCUUAACCGAGGAACUGCCUGUCAGACUGUAAGGCUUGAGACCGGGAGAGGUGAGUGGAAUUCCCAGUGUAGCGGUGAAAUGCGUAGAUAUUGGGAGGAACACCAGUGGCGAAGGCGGCUCACUGGACCGGAACUGACGCUGAGGCGCGAAAGCGUGGGGAGCGAACAGG
This 253-nucleotide ribosomal RNA is filed under the name uncultured bacterium. RNAcentral's name for it is "partial 16S ribosomal RNA". It matches the Rfam family "Bacterial small subunit ribosomal RNA", at positions 524 to 776 of the family's 1533-position model. The record is from RNAcentral.